AGCAACGCCGCGUGAGUGAUGAAGGCUUUCGGGUCGUAAAACUCUGUUGUUAGGGAAGAACAAGUACGAGAGUAACUGCUCGUACCUUGACGGUACCUAACCAGAAAGCCACGGCUAACUACGUGCCAGCAGCCGCGGUAAUACGUAGGUGGCAAGCGUUAUCCGGAAUUAUUGGGCGUAAAGCGCGCGCAGGCGGUUUCUUAAGUCUGAUGUGAA
Molecule: ribosomal RNA, 216 nt
Filed under: Priestia megaterium
Lineage: Bacteria; Bacillati; Bacillota; Bacilli; Caryophanales; Bacillaceae
Description: Bacillus megaterium partial 16S ribosomal RNA
Rfam family: Bacterial small subunit ribosomal RNA
Source: RNAcentral